Molecule: ribosomal RNA, 468 nt
Filed under: uncultured bacterium
Lineage: Bacteria
Description: partial 16S ribosomal RNA
Rfam family: Bacterial small subunit ribosomal RNA
Source: RNAcentral
GACGAACGCUGGCGGCGUGCUUAACACAUGCAAGUCGAACGGAAAGGCCCAGCUUUUGUGGGGUGCUCGAGUGGCGAACGGGUGAGUAACACGUGAGUAACCUGCCCUUGACUUUGGGAUAACUUCAGGAAACUGGGGCUAAUACUGGAUAGGAGCUCCUGCUGCAUGGUGGGGGUUGGAAAGUUUCGGCGGUUGGGGAUGGACUCGCGGCUUAUCAGCUUGUUGGUGGGGUAGUGGCUUACCAAGGCUUUGCCGGGUAGCCGGCCUUGGAGGGUGACCGGCCACAUUGGGACUGAGAUACGGCCCAGACUCCUACGGGAGGCAGCAGUGGGGAAUAUUGCACAAUGGGCGGAAGCCUGAUGCAGCAACGCCGCGUGCGGGAUGACGGCCUUCGGGUUGUAAACCGCGUUCGCCUGUGACGAAGCGUGAGUGACGGUAAUGGGUAAAGAAGCACCGGCUAACUACGUG